This is a long non-coding RNA of Cryptotermes secundus, 1674 nucleotides long. RefSeq lists it as uncharacterized. The record is from RefSeq and is a predicted model, not a curated record. Lineage: Eukaryota; Metazoa; Arthropoda; Insecta; Blattodea; Kalotermitidae. The transcript is spliced from 2 exons.
CGACAGAAGGCCGGAUGAGCAAUGCCUAGGCCUUUUUUGUCCCUGAUAUUUCUCUCGAGCUCAUGGAGAUGCUCAGUGUAUUCCACAUCUGACUGCCUGUAAAACAGAAGAGUAAAAAAAAAGAGUAAAAGCAGCAGAAGUAACACAUGAAGAAAAGCAAAGGACACUAAUAUACACAAAGAUACCUUUACAAGGGCGGAGGGGGGGGGGAGAAAAUGAAUCUGAAGAAGAGAGAUCUCCUGAAAUGCAGCACUCAAGAUUAGCUGAAGAAAAAAAUGUUAGCAUUCUUCUAAACAUGAUGCAAACAAAUGUACUAUAGAGAGUAUGAUUAUUUAUUUGGUAACAUGAAUUUACAGUACCUUAAAUACUGUCAUUUCCCUUGAUUUAUACAGUAAAAUCCUUUCCAUCAUUUCUACAACAUACUGAUGAUUAAGCAAGUUGCUUUUCUUCUUCUGGUGAAUCCAAUAUGGCUCUUCCACUAACGCUGUGUUAAGAAUAAGCACUGUUAUGCCGUGGUGACAGGGGGGCGUGAAGGUAUCCAACCGCUGCCACCACUGUUAUGGCGUGAAGGGGGCGUGGAGGUACUUCCACCGCUUCCGCCCUGUACCUCUCUCUAGCUGUCGCUACUCUUAUCUCCUGCCGUGAUGACGGAGGGUGAGGGAAUAUCUCUCUCCGUCACCCUGUUAGUAUGCUGCCACCAUCUUGGUAAUUCAAGAAAUCUCAUACUUAUCUUAGCUUGCAUUACUGUCUGGGUUAAACCGUAAUUCGCCGAAGCUUUGGGAAGUCCUGGAGUCGGAGGAAGAGGAUAACACUCGUGGAUAUGUGUGGUUGAAUGAAACUCGUACACAUUCCUAGCCUAUUCUAUUUACCCACGUCGUUAUAUACACUAUAUACACACUGUGCCGACGUUUGUCGGUUCGUCUUACAUUGGGAAUAAACCUGCAGCGUCUCAUCAAGUCUACCUCCUGUCACCCUGCUGUCGGUAUUCUAUGCUUGGAAUCACUGAAUGAACCUAGCCCAUCUGAUUAGCCUAUCUCUCCCGGGUUACACUUUACACUGUGACACUUUACACUUAAUGAUCCUGGCUAUAUGAGAUGGUUUCACUUACUUGAGCUGAAGAUGAGGAGGCUCGCCAUCACGAUCCAGCGUCCACUCAUGGCCACAAUUGUAAUACUAAUGUAAUAAUGACAUUAAUAAGAAUAGCGUAAUAGAUCCGAAUAGAAUCGAAUCGGAUCGAAUAGGCAAAAAGCCCAAAGCACAGCUAAAAAGCUAAAAAGCCAAAAAGAAGCUCCUAAAAUGGUUCGUCUCGGGUUUUUAUAACCUCUGCUCGCUGACUCGUCGUCUUCCGUGUAUAGGGGUCCUCCUACCCCGACGUGAUUUUGGGUCGGUGUAGCUUGAUUAUUGGUUGUCAAUCAAGAAGGGGUUGACUCUUUUGGUAGGCCGCCUCCUCCUACUCAGCAUUUUCCGUUUGCCAUAGUGCUUAUGGCCCAUUUCAUAUAGCCCUUCCGCACUGUCAGCGGUUUACGCUGCCGCGUUAAUAUUCUGAUUAGUCAGGAAUUUCUUGUACUUCCUUGUAGACCCAAGCUCUCCGGUUCAUGUCCUUAUUACUGUUCAGUUUUAGUUUUUGUUUUUUUCAAUCUUACCGUCUAAUUGUAGUGAUUCCAAAUUUACCCC